AUGAACGCUGGCGGCGUGCCUCAUCCAUGCCCGUCGAGCGAACAGACGAGGAGCUUGCUCCUCUGACGUUAGCGGCGGACGGGUGAGUAACACGUGGAUAACCUACCUAUAAGACUGGGAUAACUUCGGGAAACCGGAGCUAAUACCGGAUAAUAUAUUGAACCGCAUGGUUCAAUAGUGAAAGACGGUUUUGCUGUCACUUAUAGAUGGAUCCGCGCCGCAUUAGCUAGUUGGUAAGGUAACGGCUUACCAAGGCAACGAUGCGUAGCCGACCUGAGAGGGUGAUCGGCCACACUGGAACUGAGACACGGUCCAGACUCCUACGGGAGGCAGCAGUAGGGAAUCUUCCGCAAUGGGCGAAAGCUUGACGGAGCAACGCCGCGUGAGUGAUGAAGGUCUUCGGAUCGUAAAACUCUGUUAUUAGGGAAGAACAAAUGUGUAAGUAACUAUGCACGUCUUGACGGUACCUAAUCAGAAAGCCACGGCUAACUACGUG
RNAcentral lists this ribosomal RNA (496 nucleotides) under uncultured bacterium. RNAcentral describes it as "partial 16S ribosomal RNA". It matches the Rfam family "Bacterial small subunit ribosomal RNA", at positions 29 to 507 of the family's 1533-position model. The record is from RNAcentral.